CAGUCGCCACGGGAAUACGAAGGGGGCUAGCGUUGUUCGGAUUUACUGGGCGUAAAGCGCACGUAGGCGGAUCGAUCAGUCAGGGGUGAAAUCCCAGAGCUCAACUCUGGAACUGCCUUUGAUACUGUCGAUCUGGAGUAUGGAAGAGGUGAGUGGAAUUCCGAGUGUAGAGGUGAAAUUCGUAGAUAUUCGGAGGAACACCAGUGGCGAAGGCGGCUCACUGGUCCAUUACUGACGCUGAGGUGCGAAAGCGUGGGGAGCAAACAGGAUUAGAUACCCCGUAGUCCCUGUCUCUUAUACA
This 301-nucleotide ribosomal RNA is filed under the name uncultured bacterium. RNAcentral's name for it is "partial 16S ribosomal RNA". It matches the Rfam family "Bacterial small subunit ribosomal RNA", at positions 509 to 808 of the family's 1533-position model. The record is from RNAcentral.